This 482-nucleotide ribosomal RNA is filed under the name uncultured bacterium. RNAcentral's name for it is "partial 16S ribosomal RNA". It matches the Rfam family "Bacterial small subunit ribosomal RNA", at positions 30 to 507 of the family's 1533-position model. The record is from RNAcentral.
AUUGAACGCUGGCGGCAUGCCUUACACAUGCAAGUCGAACGGUAACAGGUCUUCGGAUGCUGACGAGUGGCGAACGGGUGAGUAAUACAUCGGAACGUGCCCAGACGUGGGGGAUAACGAGGCGAAAGCUUUGCUAAUACCGCAUACGAUCUAAGGAUGAAAGCAGGGGACCGCAAGGCCUUGCGCGUUUGGAGCGGCCGAUGGCAGAUUAGGUAGUUGGUGGGAUAAAAGCUUACCAAGCCGACGAUCUGUAGCUGGUCUGAGAGGACGGCCAGCCACACUGGGACUGAGACACGGCCCAGACUCCUACGGGAGGCAGCAGUGGGGAAUUUUGGACAAUGGGCGAAAGCCUGAUCCAGCAAUGCCGCGUGCAGGAUGAAGGCCUUCGGGUUGUAAACUGCUUUUGUACGGAACGAAAAGGCUCUGGCUAAUACCUGGGGCACAUGACGGUACCGUAAGAAUAAGCACCGGCUAACUACGUG